AGGCUUAACACAUGCAAGUCGAGGGGCAGCAUGGUCUUAGCUUGCUAAGGCCGAUGGCGACCGGCGCACGGGUGAGUAACACGUAUCCAACCUGCCGUCUACUCUUGGACAGCCUUCUGAACGGAAGAUUAAUACAAGAUGGCAUCAUGAGUCCGCAUGUUCACAUGAUUAAAGGUAUUCCGGUAGACGAUGGGGAUGCGUUCCAUUAGAUAGUAGGCGGGGUAACGGCCCACCUAGUCUUCGAUGGAUAGGGGUUCUGAGAGGAAGGUCCCCCACAUUGGAACUGAGACACGGUCCAAACUCCUACGGGAGGCAGCAGUGAGGAAUAUUGGUCAAUGGGCGAGAGCCUGAACCAGCCAAGUAGCGUGAAGGAUGACUGCCCUAUGGGUUGUAAACUUCUUUUAUAAAGGAAUAAAGUCGGGUAUGCAUACCCGUUUGCAUGUACUUUAUGAAUAAGGAUCGGCUAACUCCGUGCCAGCAGCCGCGGUAAUACGGAGGAUCCGAGCGUUAUCCGGAUUUAUUGGGUUUAAAGGGAGCGUAGAUGGAUGUUUAAGUCAGUUGUGAAAGUUUGCGGCUCAACCGUAAAAUUGCAGUUGAUACUGGAUAUCUUGAGUGCAGUUGAGGCAGGCGGAAUUCGUGGUGUAGCGGUGAAAUGCUUAGAUAUCACGAAGAACUCCGAUUGCGAAGGCAGCCUGCUAAGCUGCAACUGACAUUGAGGCUCGAAAGUGUGGGUAUCAAACAGGAUUAGAUACCCUGGUAGUCCACACGGUAAACGAUGAAUACUCGCUGUUUGCGAUAUACAGCAAGCGGC
Molecule: ribosomal RNA, 811 nt
Filed under: uncultured organism
Description: SSU rRNA
Rfam family: Bacterial small subunit ribosomal RNA
Source: RNAcentral